ACUCCUACGGGAGGCAGCAGUGGGGAAUAUUGCACAAUGGGCGCAAGCCUGAUGCAGCCAUGCCGCGUGUAUGAAGAAGGCCUUCGGGUUGUAAAGUACUUUCAGCAGUGAGGAAGGUGGUGUCGUUAAUAGCGGUAUCAUUUGACGUUAGCUGCAGAAGAAGCACCGGCUAACUCCGUGCCAGCAGCCGCGGUAAUACGGAGGGUGCGAGCGUUAAUCGGAAUUACUGGGCGUAAAGCGCAUGCAGGUGGUUUGUUAAGUCAGAUGUGAAAGCCCGGGGCUCAACCUCGGAAUUGCAUUUGAAACUGGCAGACUAGAGUACUGUAGAGGGGGGUAGAAUUUCAGGUGUAGCGGUGAAAUGCGUAGAGAUCUGAAGGAAUACCGGUGGCGAAGGCGGCCCCCUGGACAGAUACUGACACUCAGAUGCGAAAGCGUGGGGAGCAAACAGGAUUAGAUACCCUGGUAGGAUAGCG
Molecule: ribosomal RNA, 473 nt
Filed under: uncultured bacterium
Lineage: Bacteria
Description: bacterial SSU rRNA
Rfam family: Bacterial small subunit ribosomal RNA
Source: RNAcentral